This 989-nucleotide ribosomal RNA is filed under the name Salmonella enterica. RNAcentral describes it as "partial 23S ribosomal RNA". It matches the Rfam family "Bacterial large subunit ribosomal RNA", at positions 161 to 1191 of the family's 2925-position model. Lineage: Bacteria; Pseudomonadati; Pseudomonadota; Gammaproteobacteria; Enterobacterales; Enterobacteriaceae. The record is from RNAcentral. RNAcentral also lists the same sequence under 1 other name.
AAUCCAUAGGUUAAUGAGGCGAACCGGGGGAACUGAAACAUCUAAGUACCCCGAGGAAAAGAAAUCAACCGAGAUUCCCCCAGUAGCGGCGAGCGAACGGGGAGGAGCCCAGAGCCUGAAUCAGCAUGUGUGUUAGUGGAAGCGUCUGGAAAGGCGCGCGAUACAGGGUGACAGCCCCGUACACAAAAGCGCAUGUGCUGUGAGCUCGAUGAGUAGGGCGGGACACGUGGUAUCCUGUCUGAAUAUGGGGGGACCAUCCUCCAAGGCUAAAUACUCCUGACUGACCGAUAGUGAACCAGUACCGUGAGGGAAAGGCGAAAAGAACCCCGGCGAGGGGAGUGAAAAAGAACCUGAAACCGUGUACGUACAAGCAGUGGGAGCACCCUUUGGGUGUGACUGCGUACCUUUUGUAUAAUGGGUCAGCGACUUAUAUUCUGUAGCAAGGUUAACCGAAUAGGGGAGCCGGAGGGAAACCGAGUCUUAAUUGGGCGUUAAGUUGCAGGGUAUAGACCCGAAACCCGGUGAUCUAGCCAUGGGCAGGUUGAAGGUUGGGUAACACUAACUGGAGGACCGAACCGACUAAUGUUGAAAAAUUAGCGGAUGACCUGUGGCUGGGGGUGAAAGGCCAAUCAAACCGGGAGAUAGCUGGUUCUCCCCGAAAGCUAUUUAGGUAGCGCCUCGUGAAUUCAUCUCCGGGGGUAGAGCACUGUUUCGGCUAGGGGGCCAUCCCGGCUUACCAACCCGAUGCAAACUGCGAAUACCGGAGAAUGUUAUCACGGGAGACACACGGCGGGUGCUAACGUCCGUCGUGAAGAGGGAAACAACCCAGACCGCCAGCUAAGGUCCCAAAGUCAUGGUUAAGUGGGAAACGAUGUGGGAAGGCCCAGACAGCCAGGAUGUUGGCUUAGAAGCAGCCAUCAUUUAAAGAAAGCGUAAUAGCUCACUGGUCGAGUCGGCCUGCGCGGAAGAUGUAACGGGGCUAAACCAUG